Molecule: unclassified non-coding RNA, 2947 nt
Filed under: Dendronephthya gigantea
Lineage: Eukaryota; Metazoa; Cnidaria; Anthozoa; Malacalcyonacea; Nephtheidae
Description: uncharacterized LOC114521406, transcript variant X3
Source: RNAcentral
UUGACUUGGAGUAUAUUUGCCUAGUAGAGAAACCUUAUGCGUUGCUUUACCUAUGACUGUUCAAUGUGCACGAAGGACGAUCGAAGAUAAACGAGAACAUUUUAUCGAAUGCACCAAAUCACGUAAGCUGAAUUUGAUUGAAUCUUAUUAUUGACUAACAUAUUCCAAAUAAUUAUGAAACAACCUGCCGUGCGAAAGUCAAUGCCAGAUUCACAAUAUGAACCUGGCCCGUUCAACUUCUCAUCUCGAUUGGAGUUUGAAGCGAAGUCUAAUCUUCUUCGUUCAAGAAGUGAUACGUGUCUUGGAAAACAACGUCAACGAUAUCAAACGAACAGCUUAAAGAACUCCGUUAAAAUUAAUCCAUGGACUGUGCCGAGUAUCAACUUCACAUUUUACGAUAGUAAACCAAAGAACAUAGAAUUUGAAGCAAAGAAAAACCGACAAUAUCAUGAGAAGCCUAGGAAUGAGGAGUUUGCAAGAAUACCUCUCCCUAAGAGGUUAGAAAAACCUGUGAGUAAAGAUACUAAGUUCGUCACGUCGUUUCGUUCACCGAGUGCAAGGACAUCGAGGAUAAUAGGGGUGAAAGAAGGCACGUAUCCUGCAGGACCCUACAAACCAUGGGGUCCUCAUGCAUUCAGAGGCGAUGAUUUCAGACCGGAUGGUGAACAGCAAAAUAAAGAACGAAAACCGCCAUUUGUGACAUCAUAUUCUCGAGAUCGGAGAAACUUGGAAUUGCAGAGGAAUAUCAGUCAAAUGCAAAGUUUAAAAUGCGAAGAUCGUAACAGGUCUUGCACAAGGGAAGAAAGACCAAAGCCUUUCCUGACCAAUGCAGAACAACAACCGAAAUGGGAUCACAAUUUGUUUUUGAAAAAAGAGAAAUAUCAAAGAGGGCUUUCAGAGGAGGAAAUACGAAUGAAUAGAAUUAUGAAGCAACUUUCAUGGUAUUCAGGUGACGUGGUUGUGGAGACACUAGACCGUCCAGAUAUUAAAGAUUAUAAACUUGUAGAUUGGUUGCGCGUUACUCGACAUUCUGAAGAUGAAACGACCGUGCUGUGUUGAUUUCAUUUUACGACAAUUGCGUCGAGUUCUGAUUUAGGAUAGCUGUGUCAGUGCACGACCACUCUCUGAUUGCUAUAUCACUGACAUUGGCUCAACCACUGCGAUUUAUUUCACAAAUUAAUCGGUCAAGCACAAAGUUAAUGAACACCACCAAACUGGUCUGUGAACAAACGAUAUGUGGCAGGCUGGCAGCCACUGACCUAUACUAAACUGCUGUAGUUACUCUAGUAUAGGUCAGUGGUGGCAGCUCCCCGCCCUGUAUGCGGGUUGUCUCUUUAGGAUUAGAGAAUACGGAAAAAAUGUGAUUUGUCUCAUAGUUUCUUUAUGUUUGAACGUAAUGCACCAAUUUUCUAGACUUCAGAAACGUGUUAUUAGUCUUGGAAAUUUGAAAUGAAAGAAGAAAGGUCUAAGGUUUCUAAUUGGCCCUGAUCGAGACGCAAAAAAAGUGAUCGAUAAGCCCUUACACUCCCUACAAAACCAAGUACCGCACUUCUGCAAAUAUGGCGGUCGAUUCAAAAUUGAAAACACCUAAACUUUUAAGAGCAUUUUAUAAACUGAACAGUUAUAAACAAAUUUCAGUUUCACUGCAGUUUCAAUUAGUGCAAACGUCAUUUUGGUGAAAUUGAUUCGUAUGGGACUCCAGAUUAAGAUUUUUUAAUUUUGGAAGAGACACUUUCUGUCACCAGUAUUAUAACCACUCACCAAUGAAAUGCAGGUAUUGAAUAACUAUUAUUUUUGGUGUCAGAUUUGAAUCAUUUGAUAUAAAAAAGUCACUUUGAUGUGAGGUGGUUGAGGAAUCGUUUUGAUAAAACAUAAAAGGUAUUCAUGAGCAAUAGCAUUCGGAGGGGAUGGCAAACUGGCAAAGCUGUGCAGAAAAAGUGGAGCUCCCCCAUUUAUUCUGCAAUUGAGGUGAUUGCAUGAGGUCUGUUAUUCUGAAUAUUGCAAAUUUACAAUGAUGCACCAUUGAUGAUACCUGAAGGGGUGGGUAGGUUAAUUACUAGGAAUUAGCCAUGUUUGUGCAUAUAUUGUGUCCAGGGUGCAAAUGGUGCAAACAAAGUUAAGAGAUGAAAGAAGCAGAUAGACAUCUCUAAAGAGGCUGUCUACAACAACCUGCAUGCUUCAAACACCACUCAUCACUAGCCUAAAUUACUAGACCUAGUGGCUAGUGAACUGCUUAGCCUCAGCACUGGGUUUUGAAAUAUUUAUAUACAAACAAAAAUAAAUGGCUUUUUAGCGGGCAGGUGUUUUCCAAAUUAGGAUUUGGUGUUUCUUAUUGGAUAUAAAAUCUUACUGAAUAUUAAUAAUGCAAUAGUUUAACAAUGCUAAUCCUAAUUAAAUGGAUGUUCUUUGACAUCCAUUGACAAACUAAUUGGCUGACAAGAUAACUAGCAGGCAGGUGUUAAUUUCUUUCUACCAAAGAACUGCUAUAUAUAUUGCCACUUCUUCUUAAUCUCUUUGCUGACAAAUAUUUAAAGGAGAAAGGAGCAGAUUUUCUUCUUAAUUAAUACUGAGAUAGAAAUACAGCUAUACAUGGUUGCUAUUAAGGUCUCUUCCAAGUCAGCAUAUUUCUAAAUUACUCACAGGACCUAACAGGCUUUAGAUUGAAAGCCGCCUAAAAUUACUUUGCAUCAAUGCUUUGAGUGCAAGGUUGUAUGUGGUACGUAAUGUACAUCGUUUUUCCAACUACAUGUGCAAAAACAUUGUAAUAUUAUAUUUUUUCAUUUUUUGUGUGCUGGUAUUAACGAAAUCAGUGCAGUAUAUAAUAUAAUAUUUAACAAUGGAAUAUUGUCCGCGUAAAUUUGUAGUCAAACAACAAACGUUGAAAUUUUAUUCAUUAAAUAACAACAUCAUUAAAAAAAAUUCUUUUGGAGAAUUUGUUCCUAGCUUA